RNAcentral lists this ribosomal RNA (506 nucleotides) under uncultured bacterium. RNAcentral's name for it is "partial 16S ribosomal RNA". It matches the Rfam family "Bacterial small subunit ribosomal RNA", at positions 355 to 861 of the family's 1533-position model. The record is from RNAcentral.
UGGGGAAUAUUGCACAAUGGGCGAAAGCCUGAUGCAGCAACGCCGCGUGAGGGACGACGGCCUUCGGGUUGUAAACCUCUUUUAGCAAGGAAGAAGCGAAAGUGACGGUACUUGCAGAAAAAGCGCCGGCUAACUACGUGCCAGCAGCCGCGGUAAUACGUAGGGCGCAAGCGUUAUCCGGAAUUAUUGGGCGUAAAGAGCUCGUAGGCGGUUUGUCGCGUCUGCUGUGAAAACCCGAGGCUCAACCUCGGGCCUGCAGUGGGUACGGGCAGACUAGAGUGCGGUAGGGGGAGAUUGGAACUCCUGGUGUAGCGGUGGAAUGCGCAGAUAUCAGGAAGAACACCGAUGGCGAAGGCAGAUCUCUGGGCCGUAAACUGACGCUGAGGNNAGCGAAAAGGGUGGGGAGCAAAACAGGCUUAGAUACCCUGGUAGUCCACCCCGUAAAACGUUGGGAACUAGUUUGUGGGGGUCCAUUCCACGGAUUGCCGUGACGCAGCUAACGCAUU